This is a non-coding RNA of Otolemur garnettii (small-eared galago), 84 nucleotides long. NCBI's taxonomy places the organism in Eukaryota, Metazoa, Chordata, Mammalia, Primates, Galagidae. The record is from Rfam.
AGCUUUGCAAAGUGGCAGUAUCAUAGCCAAUGAGGUUUAUCCGAGACGCAAUUAUUGCUAAUUGAAAAAACAUAACCAUAGUCC